This 536-nucleotide ribosomal RNA is filed under the name uncultured bacterium. RNAcentral's name for it is "bacterial SSU rRNA". It matches the Rfam family "Bacterial small subunit ribosomal RNA", at positions 777 to 1310 of the family's 1533-position model. The record is from RNAcentral.
AAUAGAUACCCAGGUAGUCCACGCCCUAAACGAUGUCGACUGGUUGUUGGGGGGUUUGACACCCUCAGUAACGAAGCUAACGCGUGAAGUCGACCGCCUGGGGAGUACGGCCGCAAGGUUAAAACUCAAAGGAAUUGACGGGGACCCGCGACAAGCGGUGGAUUAUGUGGAUUAAUUCGAUGCAACGCGAAAAACCUUACCUACCCUUGACAUGUCCGGAAGCCUGCUGAGAGGCGGGUGUGCCCGAAAGGGAACCGGAACACAGGUGCUGCAUGGCUGUCGUCAGCUCGUGUCGUGAGAUGUUGGGUUAAGUCCCGCAACGAGCGCAACCCUUGUCAUUAGUUGCUACAUUCAGUUGGGCACUCUAAUGAGACUGCCGGUGACAAACCGGAGGAAGGUGGGGAUGACGUCAAGUCCUCAUGGCCCUUAUGGGUAGGGCUUCACACGUAAUACAAUGGCGCGUACAGAGGGCUGCUAAGCCGCGAGGUAGAGCCAAUCCCGUUAAAGCGCGUCGUAGUCCGGAUUGCAGUCUGCAA